This is a long non-coding RNA of Chroicocephalus ridibundus (black-headed gull), 498 nucleotides long. RefSeq lists it as uncharacterized. Lineage: Eukaryota; Metazoa; Chordata; Aves; Charadriiformes; Laridae. The transcript has 3 exons. The record is from RefSeq and is a predicted model, not a curated record.
UACAGCUUUUGGCUAUGCCCAGAUCUUGACUGAAGUUGGAAAAGCAAAUCAUACCAUGCUGCUGUUAGAACUACAUCUUCAGGUGGCCAUAGCCUGGCCGGCUCCAUCCACGGAGCUCGUGGUGGUACAACAGCGACACUCACAGCCUCUGAAUUCACAUGUAAAAGGAGCAGGAACUGGUGCGGCCAGCGUAAAAGGCAGUUGUGGGACUCCCGCAAUGACUGAAAGUACAAAGGUUGUAAAGGAGGGAAGGUGAAGAGCACUUGCUCCCCGGGACCACGCCUUGGCAUGAGGCAGAUCUACCCCCACCCUGCUUACUGCCCUCUGUAUCAGCUACCUCCUCCCUCCCUCCAGCUCACCGAGGUAAGUCGUGAAGAAGAGGUCGGCAGGGCCACGGGCAGCGGUGACAGCUCAAUCCUCCGGGGCACAGGACGGCUGUGCUGGUACUUGCGAAGGGAGGUGCCCUCUCAGCCUUCCACGCUUCCGCCUGUCUUACAG